GACGAACGCUGGCGGCGUGCCUAACACAUGCAAGUCGAACGGAAACGCCCUGCUUUUGUGGGCUGCUCGAGUGGCGAACGGGUGAGUAACACGUGAGUAACGUGCCCUUCACUUUGGGGUAUCUUCAGGAAACUGAGGCUAAUCCCAGAUAGGAUCUCCUGCUGCAGGGUGGGCGUGGGAUAGUUUCGGCGGUUGGGGAUGGACUCGCGGCUUAUCGGGUUGUUGGUGGGGUAGUGGCUUACCAAGGCUUUGACGGGUAGCCGGCCUGAGAGGGUGACCGGCCACAUUAGGACUGAGAUACGGCACAGACUCCUACGGGAGGCAGCAGUGGGGAAUAUUGCACAAUGGGAGGAAGCCUGAUGCAGCAACGCCGCGUGCGGGAUGACGGCCUUCGGGUUGUAAACCGCUUUCGCCUGUGACGAAGCGUGAGUGACGGUAAUGGGUAAAGAAGCACCGGCUAACUACGUG
RNAcentral lists this ribosomal RNA (468 nucleotides) under uncultured bacterium. RNAcentral's name for it is "partial 16S ribosomal RNA". It matches the Rfam family "Bacterial small subunit ribosomal RNA", at positions 28 to 507 of the family's 1533-position model. The record is from RNAcentral.